UACGGGGGGUGCGAGCGUUGUCCGGAAUUACUGGGCGUAAAGCGCGUGUAGGCUGUUCUGCAAGUCGGGUGUGAAAGCCCCGGGCUCAACCUGGGAAGUGCACUCGAAACUGCAGAACUCGAGUCCUGGAGAGGAAGGCGGAAUUCUCGGUGUAGAGGUGAAAUUCGUAGAUAUCGAGAGGAACACCGGUGGCGAAGGCGGCCUUCUGGACAGUGACUGACGCUGAGACGCGAAAGCGUGGGGAGCAAACAGG
Molecule: ribosomal RNA, 253 nt
Filed under: uncultured bacterium
Lineage: Bacteria
Description: partial 16S ribosomal RNA
Rfam family: Bacterial small subunit ribosomal RNA
Source: RNAcentral